CCCUACGGGGUGCGCCUUUCCCUGAACGCCUCCAACCUGGACGACUCGGGGCGCUGGGCCUUCACCGCCAUCACGGGCCCCCGGAACGUUCCCCUGGUGGAGCGGGCCUUCUUCGAGGAGCUCCGGCGGGCCCUGAAGGAGGGGUUCACCCGGGAGGAGGUGGCCCGGGGGACGUCCUUCCUCCUGGAGGGCAUGAAGGUGGACCGGUCCCAGGACCGCACCCUGGCGGCGCUGAUGGGCGCGGAUCUGUUCCUGGGGCGCACCUUCGCCUGGACCGGGGAUCUGGAGGCCCGUCUGCGGGCGGUGACCCCCGAAUCGGCUCUGGCGGCGCUGCGGCACCAUCUGGAUCCCCAGACCUUCUCCCUGGCCCUGGCGGGAGAGC
RNAcentral lists this ribosomal RNA (382 nucleotides) under uncultured prokaryote. RNAcentral describes it as "partial 16S ribosomal RNA". The record is from RNAcentral.